GCCUAGCUAGCGCAGGUGGUAGAGUAUGGGACUCUUGAUCACAGGAUCAUGGCUUUGAGCCCCAAGCUACCUC
Molecule: non-coding RNA, 73 nt
Organism: Pangasius djambal
Lineage: Eukaryota; Metazoa; Chordata; Actinopteri; Siluriformes; Pangasiidae
Source: the annotation of a GenBank genome assembly